Molecule: long non-coding RNA, 4080 nt
Organism: Ictidomys tridecemlineatus (thirteen-lined ground squirrel)
Lineage: Eukaryota; Metazoa; Chordata; Mammalia; Rodentia; Sciuridae
Source: RefSeq, a predicted model, not a curated record
CAGGGGUACUUUAUCAUGAGCCACAUGCCCAGCUUUUUCUCUUUUGACACAGGGUCUUGCUAAGUUGUUUAGGGCCUUGCUAAAUUGCUGCAGCUGGCUUUGAACUUCCAAUCCUCCUGUGUUGGCCUCCGGAAUCCCUGGAUUACAGGGGAGAUGUACUGGGAUCCAAUCCAGGGCUUCAUCAGAGCUGGUCAAGGGCUCUAUUACUGAGCUACAUUCCAAGGCUUUUUUUAUUUUGAGACAGUGUCUGACUGUUGCCCAGGCUUGCAUCCAACUUGUGAUCUUCUAGCCUCCAGAGUAGCUGGGAUUAUAGAUAUCUGCAACCACAAAAUAUUUUGCAUUUUCAGAAAAGUGUUCAACUGCAGUAUGGUUUGCAUAUAUGUAUUAACAUACCAUGUAGAAAAAUUCGGGUUAAAACUGAAUGAAAUAUUUACUGCUAUACUAAACAAGGUCUACUGCCUAAUUAGCUGUGUAGUCUCUGGAAAGUUACUUGAACUCACUGUGCCUUAGAAUUUCUUCUCUAAAGUGGGGAUAGCUGCAUCUACCUCAAAGGAUUGUUAGGAUAUCAGUUAAGUGCAGAGAACCUACCUACUGUUGAGUGUGUCCUUUUAUAACAAAUUUUAAACCUUCAGUGUGGUCUGUGACAUUUGGAUAGAAAUCUUGUACAAAUUCCUCUUUGGUCUCCCCCAUCCGUCUCUAUGAUCUCUUCUUUGCAUAUAAGAACCCAAGUAUUUAUGCACCAGAAACGAGUUACUAUAGUAACUAGAAGAGGGAAAAAGGCCCAGAAGAGUUGAAAAUGCCAUUCUUGCUGUUCUGUUUUAAUUAAAAACUCUAAAAGGCAUACCCACUUGGACGUUACUUAAUUAACAACUGGUAAGGAAAAGAUUGAAGCAGCAAACUUAAGGAUGUCGAAAAGUUCUGUUGACCAACAUGGAGGACCACAGUUACAGCUGGACUAAGUGAAAAUACUUUUAUCGGGUCCUUUGAGUAUCCUGUAGAAAAUCAGACAGAAAAAGAAAUCAGUACUCUAGUGUGAACAUGAGCGCUGGAAGAGCGCUCCUGUCUUCCAAGCGGUUCCUGCGCUUCGUUGCGGCUUUGGGCCCGGCUGCGGUGUGGCUGGCGGAAGGCGGCUUUGCACCCCUGCAGCGACAACCAUGAGAGGCGAGCGUACUGCAGCGUGGCCAGGCAGCCCCGGCGGGAAGACGGCCCCGGGUCGCGGUCUGCACCUACCAGCGCUUAGGCGAGGCAAGUGCGCGGCCGGGGCUGCAACUGGCGCUGGCGACGCUUGCGCUGGCCGUUGAGGAGCCUCUGCGUGACCUUGCGCUCGUGGCCGCCGGGCACCGGCCGGUUGGUGCGCAGUUCCUGCUCGCGCCGCGUCCGGCCCUUGCUGCGCCCCGCCCCGGAGGCCGGGAAGUCACGCAGGUAGUGGUAGUCGAGGCAGUCGUACAGCUCCUCCUCGUAGUUCACCGGCAGCUUCGCCUCAGCUGGCGGCGGCCGGGCCCGGCUGACGCGGAGAUAAGCAGGCUCGGGGCUUGGCUCCAUCGCGCCCCGCCGCGGAGGAGCCAGCCCUUGCGGGCCCCUGGAGGGCGGAGCGGCCCGGCCCUCCGAUUGGCUCCGCCGGAGGGGCGGGGCGAAAGGGCAAGUUGCCCGCCUCGCGCUCCCAUUGGCUCCGCAUGGAGGGGCGUGGCCAGGGUGGAGCUUUGCUGCGGUCAUAGAGCCCCGAAGGUGCUGGCCUGGCCGGCGAUGGUGACAGCCUGGUGAUAGUCGCUGCGGGCUGAAGAAGGUUGGCUGGCGAACUCCUCUCAGCAUUCUGUUUGUGCUGGCCUGCAGGCGAGAAUCAUCCAGAAAACCUCCAUCCAGGCUGAGCCCAGGCAUCCAGGACAUUACCAGGGGGCUCUGUCCUGAAGGGGAGGCUGUUCAGGGUCGACCAACCACAGAAGCCCUCAGAGGAGGGCCAGGAGAGUUCUGUGCUGGCUGGAAACCAUUUCCACCUGCAGAUCUACAGCAAGGUAAAGGGGUCCCUCCAAAGGAUGUAAAGGAUGGAAGUAUGGGGGUCUCUGUUUUAUCUUGUUGGUAUAUUCCAGAACCACCAGAUGUGUAAUUUUAUGAUUUCAAUGCCAUGAAAUACUAGAGCCAACAUUCACACCUGCAUAAAGAAUUGUGGAAUCUGUGCUUUGGCUAAUCAUUCUCUCUUCCCCCUUAGGCAACUCAUAUGGGCAAUCAGAUAUCCACAACAGAGGGCAGACCAUUCAUGUGUCUCCCCCAUCAUUGACAGGGGUUAGCUACUCAGUGAUGACCAAGGGACAGAUGGUCUUUCUCUGUAACAUGUUAUGGCUAUAGUAUGAUCAGGGAGACCAAGAACAAUGGCCCAAUGUUGGGUAUCUACAUUACAAUACUAGACCAUUCUCUGCAACAGAAAGGAAGAAGGGGAGAAAAUUCCCCACGCAGUGUCUUAUGGCUUUAUAUCAAACUGAAGGACUCCAAAAGAAAUGUAAUUAACCAACCUGAAGCUUAAACCUUUGAUGAAAUAAGGAAACCCCUUCCUGCUCUUUGAAAGACCUCCUGAGGAAGAAGACCUACUUUACUUUCCCAUGGGUGGAGAGGUGACUCCCCUGCUUCUCAGUUCCUGCUGAGCAGGUGGAUCCGCCUUCUCCACACCCUUCUCAUCCUGAGCUCCUUUUCCAGAUGUUUCUCCCAGAGCCUCUGCACCCAGACCCUCCCUUAAACUAAAACCCCUUCUUCCUGAAGCACCACCAGGCAUGGGGCCAAUUACCAGCCAGGAAAGAUUUUUUUCUCCAGCGACAGGUUCCCAAUGGACAGGGGCAUUUUGUUUACAUGCGUGUGCCUUGUGUGACCUCUGAUUUGUACAGCUGGGAAGCACAUGGCCAAGGUCUGAGGGCAGACUCAGGAAGAUGCAUUUGUCUUAUGAGGGGUAUCUACAACCCACAACUCAGCCUGAGAAGAUAGUCACACUUUCCUUUCCACCUUCCAACCAAAGAAGUCAAGCCAGCUGCACUGGCAGAGGCUAAAACGAAGGCUGAUAAGCUGCAUGCAAAUCAUGAAACCAGCUUGGUGACCUGGUGAAUAGCUCCAGGGGACCCUCAUUUUUAAAGUCCCAACUGAGUGGCAGGAGGAGCCAGUUCCCUACAUACUCAGAGAAUGCAGGAAGCUAGCAAACCCAAAGUUAAUUGGGGCAAACAGGGAAAUUCACCAGAAGCCAAAGAAGGAUCCUUCAGCCUUCAUGCAGAGGUUGAGAAACCAUCUUCAAAGAAUAUACCCCUUGGCAUCCAGAAGGGAACAGUAGCCAGAUAACCCCAAAUACCUACUUCCUAUCUCAGUGUGCUCCUGAUGUCUGAAUAGAACUCCAAAAAUUGGUCAUGAGUCCAAAGACUAACCCUUCUCUACUGGUAGAGAUUGCCUUUAAAAUUUACAGCAGAGAUGUGACUGGAGAGAGGGAGUAGAACAAAACAGAAAAAGCAAGCUGUCCCCAUGGCAGUGGCACUCCUGUCCCUUCCAAUGACCCAGGAGGAAGAAAGAAGCUGACUCAGGUUUUCUCCCUCCUCCUCCAAUGAAGAAAAGACAGAAAGCAAACAGGGCAAGUCUUCAAUGGUCUCCUAUCUCACGGGGUGGACGACAGACAAGCAGGGAAAGAUCUGGUUGCCAAAAAGGGUGGCCUUGGCCACAGCUAACUCUCCCUGAAAGAGGAGCUGUACAACGGGCUUCCUGGAGGACUGGGGACGCCACGUUCAGAGAUCGCAGCUAAUCUAACGAAACAGCUUGCUCCAGCUGGCGGCAAAUAACAUUCAAACGAGGCCUCCCGCAACCUGUUAGAAAGGGCAGUGCCAGCCAGAGCCAUGCAGCCUGGAAGCACUGGCGGGUGGCUUCUACACUCAUGGCAGCCAUCCCAGCAGGAUUUAGUAUCUCUCAGUUUCAGUGGUACUUGUUCUGGCUGGAUAAAGCCUUACCUUGCAGAAUGGAAAAAGCAGAAGUUACAAAAGGACUUUUUUUCCUCCCAAGGAGUGCUCGACCACUGGGCUACAUCCCCAGCCCUUUUUAUUUAUGUAUUUAUUUUAUUUGUAU